UUAGAGUCUCCUGAAGGAACGUUGAAGACGACGACGUUGAUAGGCCGGGUGUGUAAGCGCAGCGAUGCGUUGAGCUAACCGGUACUAAUGAACCGUGAGGCUUAACCUUAC
This 111-nucleotide ribosomal RNA is filed under the name Salmonella enterica subsp. enterica serovar Enteritidis str. 648901 16-16. Its description in RNAcentral is "partial 23S ribosomal RNA". It matches the Rfam family "Bacterial large subunit ribosomal RNA", at positions 2805 to 2925 of the family's 2925-position model. The record is from RNAcentral. Lineage: Bacteria; Pseudomonadati; Pseudomonadota; Gammaproteobacteria; Enterobacterales; Enterobacteriaceae.